Long non-coding RNA from Apis dorsata (giant honeybee), 474 nucleotides. RefSeq lists it as uncharacterized. The transcript is spliced from 2 exons. The record is from RefSeq and is a predicted model, not a curated record. Lineage: Eukaryota; Metazoa; Arthropoda; Insecta; Hymenoptera; Apidae.
AAGUUCGCUACAAUCGGGCAUAAAGUUCACCAUUAUCCAAGCAAUCGAUAUUGGCAUAAAUUCCACAUAAGGAACAUCAAUUCCAUCAUCGAGUAAUCGUUAGUAGCCGCGAGUUUUCCCUCUUCCACUCUCACCAAAGAAGUUCCCUGAACGCUAACUCAAGGAGAACGUGAUGUGACCACGGGCCAAGAAAAGGAAGAAACGCCACCAUAUCCAAUGCUUUUCACGCUUGAACGUCAACCGUGGCUCGCGUGUCGGCAUCCCAUAGAAGAGGAGCGAUUCCGACGAAUACGUUUUUUCCUUCGAAACGUAUGCGCAGGCUGAUUGAAUUGAACGACAGGAGAACGAGAGAAGAGGACGUCUCCGAAGGAGGCAAUGACUUGGUUGUUGAUCGUCAACGUUUAAUGCAUCUGGAUCUGUCGUAACUUUAACUAACUGUGAAUAUACAGGGUGUCUCAAAAUAUAACGACAAAA